GAAGCACAAAAGACUGUUUGAAAAGGCAAACUGAGUUGAGACCUAAAGGUGUACCACAAUCACAUCCAAAGUACAUCAGUCUUGAAUGUUGUGAAGGCUCUGUAGUACAUGUGGCAGUGUAAGGGGUGUUGCAUACAAGUACCAACCAGAUAAAGAAGAAUGAACCAGCCCUUUGUGCUAAAAGUCAUCCUGCUGGACAAUACCGCCCAAAGGCUGACUCUGCCUAAUGGAUUACCAGACACAGUUGAAGAACUUAUGGAAGAAGUCAUACGCCAAUGUGGACUUGCAUCGAAUAUCAGACUUCAAUUCAUGGACCCACUGUUUGGAAAUGAGUACAUGAAUCUUACAAACAUCAACGAACUCCAGGACAGAGGGACUAUUAGAGUGAUGAGUGAUGUGUCAGAAGAAUCAGACUCGGUGACCUUAGUACUUUCAGAUGUAUCAUCCAUAUCUUCAUUGCCUGUGACAGAAUCAUCGUCCUUAGCAUCCCUUCCUCUGUCAGAGUCAUCAUCACAACUUUCAUUUCCUCUGUCACAAUCAUCUCCAUUAGUUUCAAUACCUAUU
Molecule: long non-coding RNA, 564 nt
Organism: Amphiprion ocellaris (clown anemonefish)
Lineage: Eukaryota; Metazoa; Chordata; Actinopteri; Pomacentridae
Source: Ensembl